UUGAUAUUUAUAUAGUAUAUAACUAUUGGUACUAAAUUUCUUUAUGAUUUAAAAUAAAAAAAGUAUUUCAGAAGAAUAUAUUAUUUUUUUUUAAAUUAAAAAAUAGAAUUUAGAAAAAAAUCUGGCGAAGCCUGUGCCAGCCGCCGCGGUUAUACAGGCAGGUAUAAUAGUUUAUUUAAAAAAGAUAAUUUUUUUUUAUUAAAAAAAGUUUUUUUAGGUGGAAUUUUUAAACUUGUUUUUUUAUUUGAAUCUUAAAAAUUUAAUUAUAUAAACUAGGAUUAGAUACCCUAUUAUUUUUAAAAGUAAGAUUGAUAGUAAGUAUAAUGUAUGAAAUCAAAAGAUUUUGGCGGUACUUUAAGCUUGUUAGAGGAAUUUGCUCUUUAAUUGAUAAAACACCAAAAUCUUACUUGAAUUGGUUAAGACAGUUUGUAUAUUGCUAUCAUAAAAUUAUAUUGAAUGAUAAUAAUUAAAAUAGGGUUUUCCUAAAAUGUUAGGUCAAAAUGCAGUUUAUAUUUAAGUUUGAAGUGAAUUACGAUAAUUAAUAUUAGAUAUUUAUGAAAAAUUAAAUAGGAUUUAAAAGUAAAUUUUAAAUUAUAAUGUUUAAUUGAAGAAAGCUCUAAGGUAUGUACAUAUCGCCCGUCACUCUCAUUUUUUGAGAUAAGUCGUAACAAAGUAAGUGUACCGGAAGGUGUACU
This 695-nucleotide non-coding RNA is filed under the name Navis striatus. Lineage: Eukaryota; Metazoa; Arthropoda; Arachnida; Ixodida; Argasidae. The record is from RNAcentral.